AGCGGGCGCCGGGGCGCCGCCGUCGCCCUUCUUCCCUGUUCAGACCUUCCUCGUCGUCUUCCCCUUCCUCCUCCUCCUCUUCUUCUUCCUCUUCUUCUUCUUCAUGGCGGCGCGGGGUCGUCGGUCCUGCAACUGGACCCCCGCCCCCCGCUCCUGCCCGAUGCCCCCUGCCUGGUGCCCGGGGCCCCGGCGGGCGGGCGAGGUUGUGCCCUGCCCACGGGACCCCAUCUCCCAGAGAGAGUACGGAGCUUUUUGGGCAUUUCACUGACCACUCGCACCUCCGCCGGAGGACGGCCAGAGACUGACGUGGAAACCCGAAUCGGUCUCUGGUGCCUCUGCUUAGCAGCUUUGAUAAAAGUUCCAGCGGAGGGAGGCACGGAAACAAAUGGCAAAACGGAUGCGCGUCGGUGGAUUUCCUAUUAGGGUUCUAUCAGCGAGGACAGUUGCGAGCUGGGCCAACCGUUAUCAAUCAGUCGUAUUUAUUGAGUGCUCACCCUGUGCCGAGCACCGUCGAGAGACCGUUGCAUUUCUUGUUCUCUGCCCUGUGCGGUUGUAGAUGGCCCCUGACGAAUGACGUGCAGACAGGUGCAGAAACUCCAGGACCAGGUUUCUCUGCGGGAGAUUCCUGUGGCCGAGAUCCCGAAGCCACGCUUCCCUGAGGACAGAUGAUUUCAAAGCUGCCUUUGAUGAAGACUAUCUACCACCUCAAGUUGGCGGAGCUGGAAAGAAAAGACCAGGACAGAAGGGAGGUAAAAGUCUCAGGAGGAAGGAGGGAAAGGAAUUGUCACUGAAGAAAGACAUCUACCCCAAAAAAUAGUGAAGGGAGAAGAAUGGCCUCUUCCAGAGAGAACGGGUCACACGAUGAGAAUGAAAGAAUGGGGGGACUGGGAAGAAGAAGUCUCCAAAGACAGGAGAGAGGCUUAACAGCCUUCCUGGAAGAACACGUCGAGGGAUGGGGUGGGGGGGACGAGAAGUGUGGCCUGUCCAGGAGAAGAGGACAGGCGAUGCAGACGGAAGGCACGGUGAGAGGAAAGGAAGACGAGGCGGGUGCCCGCCAGAGGUGCGUACUGCCCAAAUCACAUCCUUUUGGAUUAUGGCUUUCCCAGGCACCCUUGUCGAGUCUUCCUCCGUUCAGUUGAAGAAAAUAAUUUAGGGCACGGUUAUGAGAUGCCUCGUUUAAUUACUGCCAACACGAACCUUGCAUUUUUAUCAGUUCCCCAGCUCCGCUGUUCCGGCUGUGGGAUGGGUGUGCAGCUGGGCUGUUCCUGCCAUCAGGAUCUGAAACUUUAUUAAAGAUGUACUAGAGAAGGAGAGAAUGUUUCUGAAAAAUUAAAAUCAGUACUCUUCUUCGUGCCUGCAGCCACCCCAGCUCUUUGGAGUGCAGAGCAAGUGGGUCCCCAACACCGGGGAAUUAAUUUUUUUUAUUCAUUUUGUAAUAAAAAGAAUACCCCCCGCCAUAGCCCCAUGGCAGGUCAUCUCCAGAGAUGAGGGAGCCCCAUUGCCGGGGCAUUUACUUUUGAUUUAUUCAUUCAGUUGUAUUUAUUGAGCAGUUCCUAUGUGAG
This is a long non-coding RNA of Ornithorhynchus anatinus (platypus), 1562 nucleotides long. RefSeq lists it as uncharacterized. The transcript has 3 exons. The record is from RefSeq and is a predicted model, not a curated record. Lineage: Eukaryota; Metazoa; Chordata; Mammalia; Monotremata; Ornithorhynchidae.